CCACCGCGCCUGCGCGAAGUGAGGGCUGCGCAGGCGCGGCCGGCGCGUUGCUAGGCAGAGCGCGGGCCGCCGCCGGCGCGGGGUGGCGGUUGCGGAGGGCCGCCACUGGCGCAGCCGGUCGCCGCUGCCGUAGCGCGGGGUGACCUCGCUCGGCCCGCCGCGGGGAGGCGCCCGGGGAGCAGGGGCGGUGGCGAAGGGCACGUUGGCGACUGGGCUGGGAGAUUCCCUUCAAAGAGCUAGCGGCGCUUGGGGGGGUCGUGGGUAGCCGCGGUGCCAUGGAGAAGGGCCAGCGGAACGACAUAGUGUUUAACGCGUCCAAGGGGGAGGCUUUCACUCUCAACAGCGGUUACAAAUCCCUGCGCAAAAGGCUUCGUAGUAGCUGGAAGAUACGAAGUUUAAGAGAUGAGAUCACGUCGGAGAAACUGGUUGGAGUAAAACUAUGGAUUACAGCAGGGCCAAGAGAAAAGUUCACUGCUGCUGAGUUUUCUGUUCUGAAGAAAUUCCUGGAGGAGGGUGGAGCUCUACUGGUGAUGCUGACAGAAGGCGGUGAAUCCAGAUAUGGCACAAAUAUUAACUACUUGUUAGAAGACUAUGGGGUAGCGGUCAAUAAUGAUGCUGUAGUACGAAAUGUAUAUUACAAGUACUUCCACCCGAAAGAAGCACUAAUUUCUGAUGGAGUUUUGAAUAGAGGAAUCAGUGAAGCUGCAAGAAAAACAGGGUUUGAGACAACAUAUGAAGAUGGAGGUGCACAUGCUGCACAAACUCUUACUUUUGUGUAUCCAUUUGGUGCAACACUGAAUGUAAUGAAACCAGCAGUGGCUGUUUUGUCCACAGGAUCUGUUUGCUUCCCACUCAACCGACCCAUUCUUGCUUUUUAUCAGCAUGAGGCUCAAGGUGGAAAGAUGGCAGUGUUGGGAUCUUGCCACAUGUUUUCUGAUCAAUAUUUGGAUAAAGAAGAAAACAGUAAGAUCAUGGAUGUGCUUUUCCAGUGGCUCACAACAUCAGAUAUCCAGUUAAACCAGGUGGAUAUGGAGGACCCUGGGGUAAGAGAGAGCCAUCACAAUGAAAUUUCAGACUAUACAAUGAUCCCGGAUACAGGUGCGUUGUCUGAGCGAUUGAGAGUCUGUCUACAAGAGGGAGAGGAAAUCCCAAGAGACUUCACAAAGUUGUUUGAUACGUCUCUCUAUGAGCUAGAUACAACUGCCCUCCCUUCGGUUAUCAAAGCUUAUGAGCAGCUGAAUGUGAAGCGUGAACCUCUCCGGCUCAUUCGGCCUCAGUUUGAGACUCCACUACCUCCCCUUCAGCCAGCUGUUUUUCCACCUGCUUUCAGAGAAUUACCUCCUCCCCCUCUGGAGCUGUUUGACUUAGAUGAAAUUUUUGCCUCUGAGAAAGCCCGUCUAGCAGAGAUUACAAACAAAUGCCUCAUUUAUGAAAACCUAUUGCUGUCAUCCUGGACUAAGAAUGCUCUGAGUCUUUGGAAGGUACUGAUGACAACUUGGAGUUUUAUGUCCGAAAGUGUGGCGAAAUCCUGGGAGUAACAAGCAAACUUCCAAAGGACAAGCAAGAUGCCAAACAUAUCCUGGAGCACAUCUUUUUCCAAGUGGUUGAGUUUAAGAAAGUGAAUCAGGAACAUGGUACCGACACAAGUGAAACUGGAUUCCAGAAUGGUAACUGAGACCUGGCUUUCUCCAAUCUGAGAGAUGUUUCAGUAAAAACAUACUUGUAAUUUUUUUUAACCUCUGUAUUCGUUAUAUUAAUUGGAAUUAUCCUGGUGGUUCUUUGAAUGUUUGGAUCGUUUAUGUGUAGUGAUUCAGAUAAUUUAAGCCUUUUGAGGAAGUGCCUUGUAUUUUGCGACCAUUUUCCAAAUAAUUCUCUAUUUUUUCCUGCUACUUUAUUGUAACUGUGAUUUUUAAAAAAAAAAAUAUGAAAAAAGUCUUAUGUUAAUAAAAUGUGGUUUUGGUCCUUC
This is an RNA transcript of Dromaius novaehollandiae (emu), 1966 nucleotides long. It is a transcript of the gene named intraflagellar transport 52, with no coding region annotated. NCBI's taxonomy places the organism in Eukaryota, Metazoa, Chordata, Aves, Casuariiformes, Dromaiidae. The record is from RefSeq and is a predicted model, not a curated record. The transcript has 14 exons.